UACGUAGGGCGCAAGCGUUGUCCGGAAUUAUUGGGCGUAAAGAGCUCGUAGGCGGCUUGUCACGUCGGGUGUGAAAGCUUGGGGCUUAACUCCAGGUCUGCAUUCGAUACGGGCUGGCUAGAGGUAGGUAGGGGAGAACGGAAUUCCUGGUGUAGCGGUGAAAUGCGCAGAUAUCAGGAGGAACACCGGUGGCGAAGGCGGUUCUCUGGGCCUUACCUGACGCUGAGGAGCGAAAGCGUGGGGAGCGAACAGG
This 253-nucleotide ribosomal RNA is filed under the name uncultured bacterium. RNAcentral describes it as "partial 16S ribosomal RNA". It matches the Rfam family "Bacterial small subunit ribosomal RNA", at positions 524 to 776 of the family's 1533-position model. The record is from RNAcentral.